AGAGUUUGAUCCUGGCUCAGAACGAACGCUGGCGGCAUGCCUAACACAUGCAAGUCGAACGAAGGCUUCGGCCUUAGUGGCGCACGGGUGCGUAACGCGUGGGAAUCUGCCCUUGGGUUCGGAAUAACUCAGAGAAAUUUGAGCUAAUACCGGAUGAUGUCGAAAGACCAAAGAUUUAUCGCCCAAGGAUGAGCCCGCGUAAGAUUAGCUAGUUGGUGGGGUAAAGGCCUACCAAGGCGACGAUCUUUAGCUGGUCUGAGAGGAUGAUCAGCCACACUGGGACUGAGACACGGCCCAGACUCCUACGGGAGGCAGCAGUGGGGAAUAUUGGACAAUGGGCGAAAGCCUGAUCCAGCAAUGCCGCGUGAGUGAUGAAGGCCUUAGGGUUGUAAAGCUCUUUUACCAGGGAUGAUAAUGACAGUACCUGGAGAAUAAGCUCCGGCUAACUCCGUGCCAGCAGCCGCGGUAAUACGGAGGGAGCUAGCGUUGUUCGGAAUUACUGGGCGUAAAGCGUACGUAGGCGGUGACUCAAGUCAGAGGUGAAAGCCUGGAGC
This 554-nucleotide ribosomal RNA is filed under the name uncultured bacterium. RNAcentral describes it as "bacterial SSU rRNA". It matches the Rfam family "Bacterial small subunit ribosomal RNA", at positions 8 to 608 of the family's 1533-position model. The record is from RNAcentral.